CCCUUGGUGGUCCAGUGGUUAGGACUUGGCACUUUGACUGCCACGGCCCAGGUUUAAUCCCUGGUCGGGGGC
Molecule: non-coding RNA, 72 nt
Organism: Odocoileus virginianus texanus
Lineage: Eukaryota; Metazoa; Chordata; Mammalia; Artiodactyla; Cervidae
Source: the annotation of a RefSeq genome assembly